GUUCCCGUAGCUCAGCAGGAUAGAGCGACCGCCUCCUAAGCGGUAGGUCGACGGUUCGAAUCCGCCCGGGAACGCCA
RNAcentral lists this transfer RNA (77 nucleotides) under Clostridiales bacterium. Its description in RNAcentral is "tRNA-Arg". It matches the Rfam family "tRNA". From Rfam's summary of the family: Transfer RNA (tRNA) molecules are approximately 80 nucleotides in length. Lineage: Bacteria; Bacillati; Bacillota; Clostridia; Eubacteriales. The record is from RNAcentral.